RNAcentral lists this ribosomal RNA (384 nucleotides) under uncultured bacterium. RNAcentral describes it as "bacterial SSU rRNA". It matches the Rfam family "Bacterial small subunit ribosomal RNA", at positions 30 to 416 of the family's 1533-position model. The record is from RNAcentral.
AUUGAACGCUGGCGGCAUGCCUUACACAUGCAAGUCGAACGGCAGCACGGGGCAACCUGGUGGCGAGUGGCGAACGGGUGAGUAAUGCAUCGGAACGUGCCAUUGAGUGGGGGAUAACGUAGCGAAAGUUGCGCUAAUACCGCAUAUUCUGUGAGCAGGAAAGCAGGGGACCGCAAGGCCUUGCGCUCUUUGAGCGGCCGAUGUCAGAUUAGCUAGUUGGUGAGGUAACGGCUUACCAAGGCGACGAUCUGUAGCGGGUCUGAGAGGAUGAUCCGCCACACUGGAACUGAGACACGGUCCAGACUCCUACGGGAGGCAGCAGUGGGGAUUUUUGGACAAUGGGCGCAAGCCUGAUCCAGCCAUGCCGCGUGAGUGAAGAAGGCC